UUUUUUUUUUUUUUUUUUUGGCUCCAUCUGUGGCAUGCAGAAGUUCCCAGGCCCAAGGAUUGAGCCUGAACCUGCACCACCGCAAUGACAAUGCCAGAUCCUUAACUGGCUAUGCCACACGGGAACUCCCUAGACCUGCAUUUCUGUGCUGAGAAAUAACUGAGUAUCUUCUAUCAAGCAGGCACAGUGUUGGGACUACACGAAUAUUAUCUCCUAUUGAUCAUUCUAAGAACUCUAGAAAAGACUUGUGCUCUGGUCUAUCCGGAGCACCACCAGAGGACUAACUCUAGUCCCCUUCACAGCCUCCAGUCUACUUUUCUUACUGUUAUACCAAGCACCAUGAAAUAGGACCACACUGUAGAGCGAGAGAGAAAAAAGUCCUGCAGCUAGAAAAUGGCAGAUGCUGUGGCAGGAACCCAGCACCUUGACUCCAAGAUCAACCUCUUUAUACUGUCAUUAUGCUGCCUGCAUGCAACUCUGACUUUUAUUCAUGUUUAGUGGAUAGUUCUCCACCUGCCAGUUACUUUCUUACUGUAACUUUUUUAAUAAGGAAAACCAUGUGAAGAAGCAAAGUAAAAAAACUAUCUAAUCCUUGGGAGUACAGUGGCAAUUAAGUAGCUGUUUAAAAAAAAAAAAAAAAGUGGUUUGAGAACAUGACGAGAAUUUCCGAGAACACUUCUACUGGUCACCUUUGCUCCAGCAUUAUCGUCCACUGAGAGAGGGAGGGGACCCUAUUUAAAAACAAGAAUACAAUUUUAUUCUUUCAGCAAAAUUUAUAAAGUCAGACAUCGAAUUUAUGAAGACAAAUAAACCUGUUUCUGUCCUCAAAGGGCUCAUAAUCCAAGAGGAGAACUAUACAUGCAGAUAAACUGCUGACAAUUUCAGGACUGGUGACAAUUUCAGGACUAGUGGCAGUGCCUAACUAGAAAGUUAGAAGACACACUUAAGGCACAAAGAGAGGACCGAGGAGAUCCAAGAUCCAGGUAAUACUAAGACAUCGGAACUUGAGUUUUGAAGAGUGGAUUAGUUCCCAAGGGCUUAGUUUGUGUCAGGCAGCGUGCUAAAUGAUUAUCUGGAUUAUCUAAUUAAAUUAUCAUUACAAGUUAGGAAAUAGCUAACUCCAUUUUACAGAUGAAUCCAGGUGGUUUAACAUAGAACUCAAAAUGCUAAAUAUUGCAGGGAGUUCCCAUCGUGGCGCAGUGGUUAAAUGAAUCUGACUAGGAACCAUGACGAUGUGGGUUCGAUCCCUGGCCUCGCUCAGUGGGUUAAGGAUCCGGCGUUGCCGUGAGCUGUGGUGUGGGUGACAGAUGUGGCUCGGAUCUGGCUCGGAUCCUGCAUUGAUGUAGCUGUGGUGUGCCAUCUACACCACAUUCUUAACCCACUGAGUGAGGCCAGGAAUCGAACCUGCAUCCUCAUAGAUGGGAACUUCAGUGACACAACGUUGAAUUUAGAAAGCCUGUAAAUACUAACUUUGCCACCAAACACUUUGAAAAGGGUCAAUUUAAGGAACACACCGAUAAAUCUUAACAUUAUGCCAAACCUCUGUUCCUAAACUGUUGUAUGACAACUGACUUUUCAUAAAUCAAAUCAUAUUUGGUAAGUACCACGUAAAAGGGAUCAUUUAAAGGCAGCUUUUAGUCAAUUCUUUCUGUAAAAUUCCUAAUUCUCCUAUCAUAACCACGACUUGUUUUGUAAUCUUAUACUUGCAAAAUAUCAAGUUUCUUAAAGCAGAGCACAACUGCUUGCAUAGGCCAAAUUCAUCCCAGCAUGGCGACCCUUCUCUCUCUUUCCCAGGUCUUAAAAAUGUCACCCUAAAACCCAGCUGUUCAUCUGUGGUAGAACAUACAGCACUAGAAAAGUUGAAAAAAGAAAGUAAGUGAAUUUUUAAAAUGUGAAAUAGAAAUGUGUGUAUUUCCCCAAAAGAGGUCAAUGGAUUAUUUUUGACAAUGAUCACAAUAAAUGCUCGAUUAAAAAAAAAUUAAGAUAUGCAUAUCUCAAAUGACUUUCCCCACAUGCCUCUGUCACCUGGAGGAAACUUCCAUAACUGUUUAUCUCCAUGAACACAUGACCUCCAUGAUGGCACCAAGGUCAAUGAGACAUACAGGAGGGAUAUGCUUAGCAAGUGCUGAUUUGCCCAGCUCUAUGGUUCUCUUCAAAAAGAAACAAGGAAGAACAGUAACAAUAACAAUUUAUGUAUAUAUUACAGAUUAUUUAUACAUUACAUAUUAUAGUUUAUGUUUUAAGUCUUAACAUUCAAGUACCCCAUUACAGGAUUCUGUAAAGACAUGUGCCAGCAAUAGCCAGAUAUAAAAGAGGGCAUCACAGGACACAACCAGGUACAAAAACUGCUGCACAGAAAGAAUUAACAAAAGUGCCAGACUGAAGACUCCCCCCUUACAUCUUAUACUGAAAAUCUAUGGUACCCUGGGUACAUGCUACAAAGACUCAAUUUCAAAGUGAGAGUUGUCUGUUGACAGAACUUUUUGAAAAUGACAAAUAGCCAAAGAUCCAUAAACAACAGAAGAGGCAACCCUCACAUCAGAAAUGCUUAGGUAAGGAGUAAGUCUGUUAUCUGCUGAGGCUGCCAGUUAACAUGAAAUUCACCAAGUGUCCUGGUGUCCCCUUACUCUUUACCAAAGACUCUAGACACUUCCUCCACUGUCACAAUCCUGCACCUUUCACAACCGGAAGUUUUCUUGGAUGAGAUUUAACCUCUAAACACAUCACCUUGGUAUAAUCUGUUUAAACUAGACAUACUCAAAAAAUUCCUUAUCAAGUCUGAAACGACUAUAUUUAAAAUUUCCAAAUAACUGUCAAAUAUAAAAAAGACAUCUGUCAGAGCUAGCACCUGAGAAGUUAAGAGCGAUUCAGUGGAGAGCAGUUCAACUAUGGGUAAUUCAUUCUAACGUUUGCUAAACAGACUGCAUGCAUUAUAACAGUGGAAAACGAAAGAGGGGGGAAAAAAUCGGCAGAAGCACUGGUUAUUCACAACCAGCGAGUCCUGGGCUGAGAGCAGUCUUCCAAGUUACUUCCAGAGAAGCUCCUGAUUGGUGGGCGGCCCUGGGUCAAUGUGAUUACUUAACCCUGGCAGUUAUAACUAAACUCCACUUUGACGGGCUCCAAAGCUUAUUACAAAAAGACGACUGCUUGAGCAUAUCAAGUACCUCGGUGUCCUGCUUCUAUUUUUCUCCCACAGAACCCGGAGCCUGACACCUGAAACUCAUCAGACAAAAACAUUACCUCGUUUCGGGGCUUUAGAGUUUUGUAUUUAUUACUCUGCAAGUCCACUGGGCAUAGAUUCAGUUGGGGGGUGGCGGUGUGAAAGAUUAACCCAUUUCCUGCAUACACAGGGAAGAACUCAUGACCAUUCAAGCAGUUCCCUCUCUUCCAAGUAACUUUUUUUUUUUUUUAAAUCAUUUAGUCCAAAAAUAACCAUAAGCAACAAACAUUAAACACUGGCAUGGCAACGUUCGCACACCAUG
This 3482-nucleotide long non-coding RNA is filed under the name Sus scrofa (pig). Its description in RNAcentral is "lncRNA (ENSSSCG00065076398.1)". The record is from RNAcentral. Lineage: Eukaryota; Metazoa; Chordata; Mammalia; Artiodactyla; Suidae.